Molecule: regulatory RNA element, 150 nt
Organism: Oceanobacillus iheyensis HTE831
Lineage: Bacteria; Bacillati; Bacillota; Bacilli; Caryophanales; Bacillaceae
Rfam family: PyrR binding site
About the family: This family represents the PyrR binding site and terminator structure. This RNA structure is found upstream of a variety of genes involved in pyrimidine biosynthesis and transport. The alignment also includes a portion of the antiterminator structure.
Source: Rfam
GACACCUUUAAUUCAGUCCUGUGAGGCUGGCAAGGUUGUGCGGAAAAGAUAAAUAUAGUAUAAGUAAACACUUCAUCGUUAUUUGUGUUGAUGUUAUCUUAUACUUUCCCCUGCACCUUGCCAAAUUUUUACGGGCAAGGUGUUUUUUAU